UUUUAUGGAGAGUUUGAUCCUGGCUCAGGAUGAACGCUGGCGGCGUGCCUAAUACAUGCAAGUCGAGCGAACAGAUGAGAAGCUUGCUUCUCUGAUGUUAGCGGCGGACGGGUGAGUAACACGUGGGUAACCUACCUAUAAGACUGGGAUAACUCC
RNAcentral lists this ribosomal RNA (156 nucleotides) under Mammaliicoccus sciuri. RNAcentral's name for it is "Staphylococcus sciuri partial 16S ribosomal RNA". It matches the Rfam family "Bacterial small subunit ribosomal RNA", at positions 1 to 150 of the family's 1533-position model. Lineage: Bacteria; Bacillati; Bacillota; Bacilli; Caryophanales; Staphylococcaceae. The record is from RNAcentral.